UCAGCCACACUGGAACUGAGACACGGUCCAGACUCGUACGCGAGGCAGCAGUGGGGAAUAUUGGACAAUGGGCGCAAGCCUGAUCCAGCCAUGCCGCGUGUGUGAAGAAGGCCUUCGGGUUGUAAAGCACUUUCAGCGAGGAGGAAGGGUGUUGUGUUAAUAGCACAGCAUUUUGACGUUACUCGCAGAAGAAGCACCGGCUAACUCCGUGCCAGCAGCCGCGGUAAUACGGAGGGUGCGAGCGUUAAUCGGAAUUACUGGGCGUAAAGCGCACGUAGGCGGUGUGUUAAGUUGGAUGUGAAAGCCCCGGGCUCAACCUGGGAAUUGCAUUCAAAACUGGCACGCUAGAGUAUGUGAGAGGGGGGUAGAAUUCCAAGUGUAGCGGUGAAAUGCGUAGAGAUUUGGAGGAAUACCAGUGGCGAAGGCGGCCCCCUGGCACAAUACUGACGCUCAGGUGCGAAAGCGUGGGGAGCAAACAGGAUUAGAUACCCUGGUAGUCCACGCCGUAAACGAUGUCUACUAGCUGUUCGUGGUCUUGUACUGUGAGUAGCGCAGCUAACGCACUAAGUAGACCGCCUGGGGAGUACGGUACGCAAGAUUAAAACUCAAAUGAAUUGACGGGGGCCCGCACAAGCGGUGGAGCAUGUGGUUUAAUUCGACGCAACGCGAAGAACCUUACCUACUCUUGACAUCUAGCGAAGAUUGCAGAGAUGCAGUUGUGCCUUCGGGAACGCUAAGACAGGUGCUGCAUGGCUGUCGUCAGCUCGUGUUGUGAAAUGUUGGGUUAAGUCCCGCAACGAGCGCAACCCUUAUCCUUAGUUGCCAGCACGUAAUGGUGGGAACUCUAGGGAGACUGCCGGUGAUAAACCGGAGGAAGGUGGGGACGACGUCAAGUCAUCAUGGCCCUUACGAGUAGGGCUACACACGUGCUACAAUGGUACGUACAGAGGGAGGCAAGCUGGCGACAGUGAGCGGAUCUCUUAAAGCGUAUCGUAGUCCGGAUCGCAGUCUGCAACUCGG
Molecule: ribosomal RNA, 1020 nt
Filed under: uncultured Rheinheimera sp.
Lineage: Bacteria; Pseudomonadati; Pseudomonadota; Gammaproteobacteria; Chromatiales; Chromatiaceae
Description: bacterial SSU rRNA
Rfam family: Bacterial small subunit ribosomal RNA
Source: RNAcentral